This is a long non-coding RNA of Hippocampus zosterae (dwarf seahorse), 299 nucleotides long. RefSeq lists it as uncharacterized. NCBI's taxonomy places the organism in Eukaryota, Metazoa, Chordata, Actinopteri, Syngnathiformes, Syngnathidae. The transcript is spliced from 3 exons. The record is from RefSeq and is a predicted model, not a curated record.
AUUAAGAUGAGCCUCUCGUUGACAACGGCAAAGCCUCCACCCAACUCUUGCAAAUCAGCUGAAGAACCACUGGAGACGAAAAGCAUGCAAGAGUUCAUACUCUUCGCCAAGGACAUGCUCAGUCAGAAACCCAGUCGACAUCUGAUCAAGGAGAGCCAAUGGAUGCAGAGAUGCUCCUCGUGAUGGCUAAGGAGCAAAAGACUGUUGCCUCCGUGACACAAUGCAAAGACAAGGUGCUGGCAAAGUGGGAAGAGCAAGAGCAGGACAUGAUCCUGGGCAUGACUUUCACCAAGGUCUAC